UGCGCAGGUGGCCAAGUGUGUGAGGCGUGAAAGCCCGUUGCUCAACAGCGGAAUUGCACCUCAAACUACAUGGCUAGAGCAUUGGAGAGGGUAGCAGAAUUCACGGUGUAGCAGUGAAAUGCGUAGAUAUCGUGAGGAAUACCAGAGGCGAAGGCGGCUACCUGGACAAUUGCUGACACUCAGGCACGAAAGCGUGGGGAGCAAAAGGGAUUAGAUACCCCUGUAAUCCACGCCCUAAACGGUGCACACUAGGUCUUGGCGGAUUCGACCCCACCAGGGCCCAAGCUAACGCGUUAAGUGUGCCGCCUGAGGACUACGGCCGCAAGGCUAAA
Molecule: ribosomal RNA, 332 nt
Filed under: uncultured bacterium
Lineage: Bacteria
Description: bacterial SSU rRNA
Rfam family: Bacterial small subunit ribosomal RNA
Source: RNAcentral